UUGGACCUGAUAUCAGGCAAGAUUACCCGCUGAAC
Molecule: ribosomal RNA, 35 nt
Filed under: Phytophthora capsici
Lineage: Eukaryota; Oomycota; Peronosporomycetes; Peronosporales; Peronosporaceae
Also listed under: 3 other names
Description: partial 28S ribosomal RNA
Source: RNAcentral